Molecule: long non-coding RNA, 157 nt
Organism: Sander lucioperca (pikeperch)
Lineage: Eukaryota; Metazoa; Chordata; Actinopteri; Perciformes; Percidae
Exons: 3
Source: RefSeq, a predicted model, not a curated record
ACGUCAUGGCUCUCUCUCAUAGGCGCUGAUACCGUGGGUGCUCCGGAGCUCGAGCACCCACGGGAAAUACUGAGCACCCACGUGUGCCAGACUGCCAGUAGGCUGCAUUCAUUUAAAAUUAAACAUUGCAUUUGGUGCUAAGUGGAGCGUCCGUCAU